RNAcentral lists this long non-coding RNA (1165 nucleotides) under Capra hircus (goat). RNAcentral's name for it is "lncRNA (ENSCHIG00010005851.1)". Lineage: Eukaryota; Metazoa; Chordata; Mammalia; Artiodactyla; Bovidae. The record is from RNAcentral.
AAUUUUGUAAGUAACACAAGGAGACAGUGGUUAAAAAGUGAAAAACACUGGUUUAGAUGUUUAUCAAGUUUUCAACUCAGCACAAAGCAAAGAGGGCUAGAUAAUAUAAUGAAUGGUGGAAACAGGUGUUGAAAGGAUUGAAAGGGAAUUUUAAAGAGAAUGCAGAUUAUUGUACAUAGGUCCACACAUCAACUGCGUAAGAAUAGGAUAAGGAAAGAGAUGAGUGGCCCGGCAGAGGAGGGUUUAGGUUCAGAGUCAUAGUUCUCAGGAACUUUCCUGGUGGUCCAGUGGUUAACACUCCAUGCUUUGAAGACAGGGGUAUGGGUUUGAUCCCUGGUUGGGGAACUAAGAUCCCAUGUGCUUCUGCUUUUGGAAUCAUCUGCAGAGCUUAAAAAAAUACUCACACCUGGUCCCACCCUCAAAGGUUCUGAUUUCAAUGGUGAGAGUACAGGCUGAUGGCUUUAUAAGCUCUCAAGGGGACUCAAAUGUGCAACUAAGGUUCAAAACCAUGAAUGUAAAGGUUUUCUUAAUGCAGUGGUUCUGACGCCAUUGGCCUGAGAUAGAGGUUUUUUUUUUUUUUUAAACCACCUCAGGUGAUUGUAAGCAAGCCGUCAGAGUCGAUACUUCUGGGACAUCAGAAAGCUUAGCACAAGUCCAUGGUGAUAUUACUUCAAAAACUUGUUGUUCGUAUGCAUCCAACAAAAUAUUAAUAGAAGUGUGGUAUCUAGGGCAGACAAAGUAAUUCCUGUCUACUUUCCCAGCUGAAAUAGCACACCCAGCUCUGCCACAUUUUAAGAGGCACGUUGACUAAUUGACUUAAAGAUUAAAGGCUGUUAUCAUCUCUGACAUACAAUUUAAAAAUGACAUGAUCAUUAACAUGUCAAAUCUUUAACAUAAACAAAUCUUUAAAUAUUUUUAAAGGGCUGUUAUAUAUAAAAGAGAUUCAAAAUUUUUUGCCUUUGUGUUUUCUAAAGGGAGGAUAAUGUCAGCCAAUACGGAAAAUAACUUGCUAACUAAAUGGACUUUCAGAAUACCAUCAUUGGAGUUAUCCAAUCAGAAAUUUAACAGUGUCUUCGGUAGGACCCUGGGGAACAUCCAUAAUCUCUGUUCUCUUUUCCACCAACAGCAGUGGCCCAGUGUCCUGAGCAGAGAAGGACCUCGAUAG